Molecule: ribosomal RNA, 401 nt
Filed under: uncultured bacterium
Lineage: Bacteria
Description: bacterial SSU rRNA
Rfam family: Bacterial small subunit ribosomal RNA
Source: RNAcentral
GAAUAUUGGACAAUGGGGGAAACCCUGAUCCAGCCAUGCCGCGUGAGCGAUGAAGGCCUUAGGGUUGUAAAGCUCUUUCAGCUGGGAAGAUAAUGACGGUACCAGCAGAAGAAGCCCCGGCUAACUCCGUGCCAGCAGCCGCGGUAAUACGGAGGGGGCUAGCGUUGUUCGGAAUUACUGGGCGUAAAGCGCGCGUAGGCGGGCAUUUAAGUCGGGGGUGAAAUCCCGGGGCUCAACCCCGGAACGGCCCUCGAUACUGGGUGCCUGGAGGUCGAGAGAGGUGAGUGGAAUGGCGAGUGUAGAGGUGAAAUUCGUAGAUAUUCGCCGGAACACCAGUGGCGAAGGCGGCUCACUGGCUCGAACCUGACGCUGAGGUGCGAAAGCGUGGGGAGCAAACAGGA